RNAcentral lists this ribosomal RNA (750 nucleotides) under uncultured bacterium. RNAcentral describes it as "bacterial SSU rRNA". It matches the Rfam family "Bacterial small subunit ribosomal RNA", at positions 28 to 776 of the family's 1533-position model. The record is from RNAcentral.
GAUGAACGCUGGCUGUGUGCCUAAUACAUGCAUGUCGAGCGAAGCACUUUUGUGCUUAGCGGCGAAUGGGUGAGUAACACGUACUUAACCUACCCUCAAGAUUGGGACAACACUUGGAAACGAGUGCUAAUACCAAAUACGUAUUUUUAUCGCAUGAUAGAUAUAUAAAAGGAGCUUCGGCUUCACUAGAGGAUGGGAGUGCGCUACAUUAGUUAGUUGGUAGGGUAAUGGCCUACCAAGACUAUGAUGUAUAGCGGGGCCGAGAGGCUGAUCCGCCACACUGGGACUGAGAUACGGCCCAGACUCCUACGGGAGGCAGCAGUAGGGAAUUUUCCACAAUGAACGAAAGUUUGAUGGAGCGACACAGCGUGCAGGAUGAAGGUCUUCGGAUUGUAAACUGCUGUUAUAAGAGAAGAAAAACCCUGGUAGGUAAUGACCAGGACUUGACGGUACCUUAUCAGAAAGCGACGGCUAACUAUGUGCCAGCAGCCGCGGUAAUACAUAGGUCGCAAGCGUUAUCCGGAAUUAUUGGGCGUAAAGAGUUCGUAGGUGGUUUUGUAAGUCUGAAGUUAAAUACCGGGGCUCAACCCCGGCCCGCUUUGGAUACUGCAAAACUAGAGUAAUAGAGAGGUUAGUGGAACUCCAAGUGAAGCGGUGGAAUGCGUAGAUAUUUGGAAGAACACCAAUGGCGAAGGCAACUAACUGGAUAUUAACUGACACUGAGGAACGAAAGCGUGGGUAGCAAACAGG